This 828-nucleotide ribosomal RNA is filed under the name uncultured bacterium. RNAcentral's name for it is "bacterial SSU rRNA". It matches the Rfam family "Bacterial small subunit ribosomal RNA", at positions 35 to 857 of the family's 1533-position model. The record is from RNAcentral.
GCUGGCGGCAGGCCUAACACAUGCAAGUCGAGCGGUAGAGAGAAGCUUGCUUCUCUUGAGAGCGGCGGACGGGUGAGUAAAGCCUAGGAAUCUGCCUGGUAGUGGGGGAUAACGUUCGGAAACGGACGCUAAUACCGCAUACGUCCUACGGGAGAAAGCAGGGGACCUUCGGGCCUUGCGCUAUCAGAUGAGCCUAGGUCGGAUUAGCUAGUUGGUGAGGUAAUGGCUCACCAAGGCGACGAUCCGUAACUGGUCUGAGAGGAUGAUCAGUCACACUGGAACUGAGACACGGUCCAGACUCCUACGGGAGGCAGCAGUGGGGAAUAUUGGACAAUGGGCGAAAGCCUGAUCCAGCCAUGCCGCGUGUGUGAAGAAGGUCUUCGGAUUGUAAAGCACUUUAAGUUGGGAGGAAGGGCAUUAACCUAAUACGUUAGUGUUUUGACGUUACCGACAGAAUAAGCACCGGCUAACUCUGUGCCAGCAGCCGCGGUAAUACAGAGGGUGCAAGCGUUAAUCGGAAUUACUGGGCGUAAAGCGCGCGUAGGUGGUUUGUUAAGUUGGAUGUGAAAUCCCCGGGCUCAACCUGGGAACUGCAUUCAAAACUGACUGACUAGAGUGUGGUAGAGGGUGGUGGAAUUUCCUGUGUAGCGGUGAAAUGCGUAGAUAUAGGAAGGAACACCAGUGGCGAAAGGCGACCACCUUGGACCAACACUGACACUGAGUGCGAAAGCGUGGGGAGCAAACAGGAUUAGAUACCCUGGUAGUCCACGCCGUAAACGAUGUCAACUAGCCGUUGGGAGCCUUGAGCUCUUAGUGGCGCAGCUAACG